This 367-nucleotide ribosomal RNA is filed under the name Laonice weddellia. RNAcentral describes it as "partial 16S ribosomal RNA". It matches the Rfam family "Bacterial large subunit ribosomal RNA", at positions 1945 to 2528 of the family's 2925-position model. Lineage: Eukaryota; Metazoa; Annelida; Polychaeta; Spionida; Spionidae. The record is from RNAcentral.
ACCGUGCUAAGGUAGCAUAAUCAUUUGCCUCUUAAUUGGUGGCUAGUAUGAAUGGACACACGCAAGCAUCGCUGUCUCACUAAUAUAAAUAAAAACUAACCUUUAGGUGAAGAGGCCUAAAUAAAAUAAAAAGACAAAAAGACCCUAUGGAGCUUUAUUUUUCCUCCUUUAACGUACAAUAUACUAAAAUACCUUCCAGGACUAACAAAUUUAGUUGGGGCGACUUAGGAAAACAAUAAAUCUUCCUAGUUUAACAAGAAAAUAAUUCAUCCAACGAUCCGCCAUGCGAAUACAGAUCCAGCUACCCUAGGGAUAACAGGCUAAUUCUUCUCGAGAGCCCGAAUUGACAGAAGAGAUUGGCACCUCG